AUACGUAGGGGGCGAGCGUUGUCCGGAAUGAUUGGGCGUAAAGGGCGCGUAGGCGGCUUUGCAAGUCAGUAGUGGAAGUCCAUUUUUCAAGGAUGGAAGUGCUACAGAAACUGCGGAGCUUGAGUGCAGGAGAGGUUAUCGGAAUUCCCGGUGUAGCGGUGAAAUGCGUAGAGAUCGGGAGGAACACCAGUGGCGAAGGCGGGUAACUGGACUGCAACUGACGCUGAGGCGCGAAAGUGUGGGGAGCAAACAGGAUUAGAUACCCUGGUAGUCCACACUGUAAACGAUGAAUGCUAGGUGUAGGAGGUAUCGACCCCUUCUGUGCCGCAGUAAACACAGUAAGCAUUCCGCCUGGGGAGUACGGUCGCAAGAUUAAAACUCAAAUGAAUUGACGGG
This 396-nucleotide ribosomal RNA is filed under the name uncultured bacterium. Its description in RNAcentral is "partial 16S ribosomal RNA". It matches the Rfam family "Bacterial small subunit ribosomal RNA", at positions 523 to 917 of the family's 1533-position model. The record is from RNAcentral.